UUCCAUUGCUAAGUCAAGGCUUCUUCCGUGCAAUUUGUUGCCGUCUCUCUAUGGAAGACUUGUCUGUUACAGCUUUGGUAGAUCAACACUGGCCCGCCGCCUGGCUUCUUUCUGAAGUUAGGUAGACCGGCUCUCGUUUUGAGGGUCGAUCAUAAAGGGCCAUGUCGUGCUUUGUUUGAGUUGAGGGCUGCUUCUGCCUUUCGGUGACUUCAUAGCAGUUCUCUUAGUAACAUCCCACACAUCU
This 244-nucleotide small nucleolar RNA is filed under the name Paecilomyces variotii No. 5. RNAcentral's name for it is "Byssochlamys spectabilis No. 5 Small nucleolar RNA snR191". It matches the Rfam family "Small nucleolar RNA snR191". The record is from Rfam by way of RNAcentral. Lineage: Eukaryota; Fungi; Ascomycota; Eurotiomycetes; Eurotiales; Thermoascaceae.